GACUUUAGGCGGCAGGUGGAUGACUUGGCUCAUGUGUUUACUAAAGACACAGCUAACUGUAGGCGUUAUAGCAGGAGAAUGGCAGGACACAUUGACCACUGACAGUUUGAAUGCACUUGUGGUCCCGGGUUCAUCUUAGGGCUAUACCUGUCUGAGCAUCG
This 161-nucleotide ribosomal RNA is filed under the name Sphenodon punctatus (tuatara). Its description in RNAcentral is "5.8S ribosomal RNA (ENSSPUG00000011014.1)". It matches the Rfam family "5.8S ribosomal RNA". From Rfam's summary of the family: 5.8S ribosomal RNA (5.8S rRNA) is a component of the large subunit of the eukaryotic ribosome. It is transcribed by RNA polymerase I as part of the 45S precursor that also contains 18S and 28S rRNA. The record is from Rfam by way of RNAcentral. Lineage: Eukaryota; Metazoa; Chordata; Lepidosauria; Sphenodontia; Sphenodontidae.